UACCAGCACCCCGAGUGGUCGGGACGUUUAUCGGGCCUAAAGCAUCCGUAGCCGGUUCUACAAGUCCUCCGUUAAAUCCACCUGCUUAACAGAUGGGCUGCGGAAGAUACUAUAGAGCUAGGAGGCGGGAGAGGCAAGCGGUACUCGAUGGGUAGGGGUAAAAUCCGUUGAUCCAUUGAAGACCACCAGUGGCGAAGGCGGCUUGCCAGAACGCGCUCGACGGUGAGGGAUGAAAGCUGGGGGAGCAAACCGG
This 253-nucleotide ribosomal RNA is filed under the name uncultured bacterium. Its description in RNAcentral is "partial 16S ribosomal RNA". It matches the Rfam family "Archaeal small subunit ribosomal RNA", at positions 474 to 727 of the family's 1478-position model. The record is from RNAcentral.